This is a long non-coding RNA of Dreissena polymorpha, 976 nucleotides long. RefSeq lists it as uncharacterized. The record is from RefSeq and is a predicted model, not a curated record. Lineage: Eukaryota; Metazoa; Mollusca; Bivalvia; Myida; Dreissenidae. The transcript has 5 exons.
UUUACAUUAAUUUACAGGUGCAUUGUGUUUUUCUAUCAUUUGGUUAAUUAUACAACUUUGGAUCUAAAACAAAACGUCAAAUUGGAUAUUAAAUUACAGUACCACAAUGAAGACUACAUAAAGGCGUGUACACUUUAAGCUGGUGGAGGUGAAUAUAAGCGAUUUGUUUACAAAGAAAGUGAUCCGACAUAGGAUUAUCUCGAGUAAUCGAGUAAGAAAAAGCAGGAAAGAAUGAGGGCAAUCUGUUCAACCUGGAAAUAUGUUAAAAUAAUGAGCUAUGCAUUCAUCUUGGCUGUUGUUCAUCAUUCGACAACAUACGAGUUAAAAGAGCGCCCUGACUGUGAAUGGUAUUGUAAGAAAGUACAACAAUGGGACGGCUCAUGUCCUGUAUAUGGGUCCUGUCGGUGGUAUUGUCAGGCAAAACGCAAAGACUGCACCCCCAGUACACGAUAUCAUUGUGCCAGAGAUUUGCACAACAAGGCCUUAUUCAUUGAAACGUGCGCAGCAGAAAUAUUAUGUUUGGCAGGAGAAGAACCUCAAAUAUCUUUACAACAGAGUGGCAAAGCUUAUGUGUAUUGCCGACCAUGUUACCGACAAAACAUGUACAAUGGUCGACAUAACACAUCAUCGGCGGUUUUUAGUGAAUGUCCUGCUAUAAAAACAAACUUGUGUGUGAAGGCUGAGCACAAGGUUGACUGUGACAAAACUUCAUAUUUGGAACUAACAAAAACUGACGGAUAUUGUCGAUGUGACACAAGAAAUGGUUAUGCAGCGCAAUCAGAGGAAAUGUGUUUUUAUCAAAAUAAACGCUGCUUCAAGAAGAAAUGUCCCGAAGGCAAAGUUCUUUCUUUGAGUGAGUCUUUUUUUUAUACUUUAUUUGAAAUGAAGCAUAUUAAUGAAAUUCAAGCAUAUAAAGUAGAUUCGGAGUUAACAAUCUUUAUUCUUAGUGUCAACAAAGCUUUUGUUAAUAAAUGUG